AAUAAGGGUCGGUUGGCUAAAAUGUCACGCAAGCCUUAGUUAGGGGGUGCUGUAUGGGUAUCAAGACAUAUGACCGACAUAAUUUGUGGUACUUGUAUGGGUAUCAAGACAUAUG
Molecule: small nuclear RNA, 115 nt
Organism: Rhododendron vialii
Lineage: Eukaryota; Viridiplantae; Streptophyta; Magnoliopsida; Ericales; Ericaceae
Product: U11 spliceosomal RNA
Exons: 1
Source: RefSeq, a predicted model, not a curated record